Molecule: long non-coding RNA, 651 nt
Organism: Gossypium arboreum
Lineage: Eukaryota; Viridiplantae; Streptophyta; Magnoliopsida; Malvales; Malvaceae
Exons: 2
Source: RefSeq, a predicted model, not a curated record
UAAAGAAAACAAAAGGGUUUCUUCCUUUUGUAGGCAGAUUUCUGCUGCUUAUUUUUUAAAAGAACUCAGCCUCCCUACCCCCUUUUCUCUUCCGUUCGGCUAGGGUCCUGAACCCCUCAUCGCCGCCCUCAGUGGUUUGUCACACCACCAUUACAAUCAGUGGCCGACGACAAGCGAAAUAGGCUACCUAGCCUCUAUUCGUGGUGCCUUUGAAGGUCCCAAAUCCCUCGGUUGAGUGCCCGAAAAUAAAGGGACUUCCCAACCUCCCCUUUUGGGCUCAACUCCAAUGGAGAAAGAAGUCUCCGACGACCGACCAUGGGGGUUUUCCGAUGACGCGUGGAGGGUGACUGAUGGAGCAGCGUGCGAGCAGACGAAGAGGCGUGGGGCGGUGGCUGAACGUUCCUAGGGUUCUGCUGAUAUUUUUUGCAUUAGAUUGAUAGUUUGGGUUGUAUUUGUUAUUGGGCUGAUUGUGGUUUUAAGGUUUGGGCUAAAAUUUGAGUUUGGAGUUUUUUAUUUGGCUGUUUAUUUUGGUUUAAAAAUUUAGUUUUUAUUUAUUUUUGUUUUUGGUUGAGUCAUGGGCAUCGGGCAAAUUUAAGCCCGUAUAUUAUUGAAUAGUUAUGUUUAUCGUAAAAGACUUGACUCCCAAAACAA